CCUACGGGUGGCAGCAGUGGGGGAUCUUGCACAAUGGAGGAAACUCUGAUGCAGCGACGCCGCGUGAGUGAAGACGGUUUUCGGAUUGUAAACCUCUGUCUUUGGGGAAGAAAAUGACGGUACCUAAAGAGGAAGCUCCGGCUAACUACGUGCCAGCAGCCGCGGUAAUACGUAGGGAGCGAGCGUUGUCCGGAAUUACUGGGUGUAAGGGGAGCGGAGGCGGGCGAGAAAGUUGAAUGUUAAAGCAACGGGCUAAACUGGUAGCUGCGUUCGAAACUUCUUGUCUUGAGUGAAGUAGAGGCAGGCGGAAUUCCUAGUGUAGCGGUGAAAUGCGUAGAUAUUAGGAGGAACACCAGUGGCGAAGGCGGCUUACUGGACUGUAACUGACGUUGAGGCUCGAAAGCGUGGGGAGCAAACAGGAUUAGAUACCCCAGUAGUC
This 439-nucleotide ribosomal RNA is filed under the name uncultured bacterium. Its description in RNAcentral is "partial 16S ribosomal RNA". It matches the Rfam family "Bacterial small subunit ribosomal RNA", at positions 338 to 795 of the family's 1533-position model. The record is from RNAcentral.